CAAAGAAUAGUUUAAUUAAAAUAGUAAUUUUGGAGAUUACUGAUAAAGAAAGUCUUUUUCUUUGA
This 65-nucleotide transfer RNA is filed under the name Acraea egina. Its description in RNAcentral is "tRNA-Pro". The record is from RNAcentral. Lineage: Eukaryota; Metazoa; Arthropoda; Insecta; Lepidoptera; Nymphalidae.